This 535-nucleotide ribosomal RNA is filed under the name Colletotrichum gloeosporioides. RNAcentral's name for it is "eukaryotic LSU rRNA". The stretch from base 174 to 327 matches the Rfam family "5.8S ribosomal RNA". Lineage: Eukaryota; Fungi; Ascomycota; Sordariomycetes; Glomerellales; Glomerellaceae. The record is from RNAcentral.
GCACUGAGCUACGCUCUAUACCCUUUGUGAACAUACCUAUAACUGUUGCUUCGGCGGGUAGGGUCUCCGUGACCCUCCCGGCCUCCCGCCCCCGGGCGGGUCGGCGCCCGCCGGAGGAUAACCAAACUCUGAUUUAACGACGUUUCUUCUGAGUGGUACAAGCAAAUAAUCAAAACUUUUAACAACGGAUCUCUUGGUUCUGGCAUCGAUGAAGAACGCAGCGAAAUGCGAUAAGUAAUGUGAAUUGCAGAAUUCAGUGAAUCAUCGAAUCUUUGAACGCACAUUGCGCCCGCCAGCAUUCUGGCGGGCAUGCCUGUUCGAGCGUCAUUUCAACCCUCAAGCUCUGCUUGGUGUUGGGGCCCUACAGCUGAUGUAGGCCCUCAAAGGUAGUGGCGGACCCUCCCGGAGCCUCCUUUGCGUAGUAACUUUACGUCUCGCACUGGGAUCCGGAGGGACUCUUGCCGUAAAACCCCCAAUUUUCCAAAGGUUGACCUCGGAUCAGGUAGGAAUACCCGCUGAACUUAAGCAUAUCAAA